CCUACGGGGGGCAGCAGUGGGGGAUAUUGCACAAUGGGGGAAACCCUGAUGCAGCGACGCCGCGUGUAGGAAGACGGUCCUCUGGAUUGUAAACUACUGUUCCCAGGGACGAAGAUGACGGUACCUGGGGAGGAAGCUCCGGCUAACUACGUGCCAGCAGCCGCGGUAAUACGUAGGGAGCGAGCGUUGUCCGGAAUUACUGGGUGUAAAGGGAGCGUGGGCGGGGAUGCAAGUUGGGUGUUAAAUCUACCGGCUAAACUGGUAGUCGCACUCAAAACUGCAGCUCUUGAGUGAGGUAGAGGCAGGCGGAAUUCCUAGUGUAGCGGUGAAAUGCGUAGAUAUUAGGAGGAACACCAGUGGCGAAGGCAGCCUGCUGGGCUUUUACUGACGCUGAGGCUCGAAAGUGUGGGGAGCAAACAGGAUUAGAUACCCGAGUAGUC
RNAcentral lists this ribosomal RNA (440 nucleotides) under uncultured bacterium. RNAcentral describes it as "partial 16S ribosomal RNA". It matches the Rfam family "Bacterial small subunit ribosomal RNA", at positions 338 to 795 of the family's 1533-position model. The record is from RNAcentral.